Molecule: long non-coding RNA, 772 nt
Organism: Cygnus olor (mute swan)
Lineage: Eukaryota; Metazoa; Chordata; Aves; Anseriformes; Anatidae
Exons: 4
Source: RefSeq, a predicted model, not a curated record
CAGAGCGUGUGCUUUGCCGAUCUGGAGGUGCACAGGACACAUAUCAUUAGUGCUAAAACACCUGGGGUGCCCACAUCUGACAAAGCUGUAAAUGCAUUUGUGCACGAGGCUUUUUGGCAGAUGCUGCCAAUUUACAGCCCAGUGCUGCAGCCCUACUCCUGAGUGCUCUUAAGUGCUCUGAGUGAUAAUGGACCUGUUUGUGUGCUCAGGGAUCGUGAACUCAGCUCUUUAAGUCUGCAUAUUCCCCAGAACAAUGCCUGGAUGCUUAUUCUUGAUCAAACGAUCCUUACAUUCCACAUAUGUGACCUGAAGAGAAGAUACUGCCUGGUAGAUUUAAGUCUCUGCGGGCCACCCAGCUAUUUCCUAACCCAGCUAUUACCCAUGUAAGCACCCAUGACUUUGAUAUUGAAGUGACUCAGUUCAACUCUGCAUCCCAUUUAAAGGUUUAAGGGAAGCAUAAGAUGUUCCCAGGAAAAAACUGAGAGAUGUGCACAAUCCCCCACCUCCAAUCUUCCUGACCUUCUCCAGAAAUUACCUGUUGUAGCCUCGGCAGCCUUUAACACCUUAAAUCAGCAGUGCCUGAGUCCAGUUCCCUCUUCUGCGCACUGAAAUCCCUGUGCAGAGAGGCCAAGAAAGGAGCACACAUGCUGCAGAUGUUGAGAUCACCUGUGCAGGACCCCAGGUGGCAGAUCAGGCAGCAAAAGAGCACAGCUGGAGAAUUCGCUGUCUUGUAAGACUCUCCUGUCAUUCCUCACAGCUGCAGCUGGCAGCA